GGGGAUGUAGCUCAGCUGGGAGAGCACCUGUUUUGCACGCAGGGGGUCAGGAGUUCGAUCCUCCUCAUCUCCACCA
Molecule: transfer RNA, 76 nt
Filed under: Clostridia bacterium
Lineage: Bacteria; Bacillati; Bacillota; Clostridia
Also listed under: 1 other name
Description: tRNA-Ala
Rfam family: tRNA
About the family: Transfer RNA (tRNA) molecules are approximately 80 nucleotides in length.
Source: RNAcentral